Non-coding RNA from Capsicum annuum, 107 nucleotides. NCBI's taxonomy places the organism in Eukaryota, Viridiplantae, Streptophyta, Magnoliopsida, Solanales, Solanaceae. The record is from Rfam.
CUAUGAUGGUGAGGGCAAUUUUUUAGAAUACUUAUAAAUAUAUCCCAAGCUUGGUAGAGAUUCUCUCCUUUCUUCUAUUUGAAACUCAGAAUCUUACUUCUCAAACG